Molecule: ribosomal RNA, 494 nt
Filed under: uncultured bacterium
Lineage: Bacteria
Description: partial 16S ribosomal RNA
Rfam family: Bacterial small subunit ribosomal RNA
Source: RNAcentral
GACGAACGCUGGCGGCGUGCUUAACACAUGCAAGUCGAACGGUGAAGCGCCUUCCUUUUUGGUUGGUGUGGAUGAGUGGCGAACGGGUGAGUAACACGUGAGUAACCUGCCCCCUUCUUCUGGAUAACCGCAUGAAAGUGUGGCUAAUACGGGAUAUUCUGGGUCUGUCGCAUGAUGGGUCUGGGAAAGAUAUUGUUUCGGUGGGGGAUGGGCUCGCGGCCUAUCAGCUUGUUGGUGGGGUGAUGGCCUACCAAGGCGGUGACGGGUAGCCGGCCUGGGAGGGUAGACGGUCACAGUGGGAGUGAGACCAGGCUCGGACUGAUACGGGAGGCAGACGUGGAGAAUAUUGCACAAUGGGCGAAAGUCUGAUGCAGCGACGACGCGUGAGCGACGGCGGCCUUCGGGUGGUGAAGCUCUUUGGCUAGUGAAGCACGCCUGCCUCGUUUGUGGGUGGGUUGACGGUAGCUGGAUAAGAAGCGCCGGCUAACUACGUG